CUGGUAACCUAGGAAACUGGCAUCCUCUCUACAUUGACUGAGUAGGUACAGCACAGGCAGUGGCAGUACAAGCUUCUCUGUGUUGCCCCACCAAUGUGCCUCGCUCAUGCAUUCAAGGAACAACACUGUCUUAAGUGGAACUAUUCUGUCUAUAGUGGGUACCAAGAGGGUAGUUCAGUCCACAUGUCCAUUAAACCCAGGC
Chrysemys picta bellii (western painted turtle) is the source of this 202-nucleotide unclassified non-coding RNA. Lineage: Eukaryota; Metazoa; Chordata; Testudines; Emydidae. The record is from Ensembl.